RNAcentral lists this non-coding RNA (28 nucleotides) under Homo sapiens (human). The record is from RNAcentral. Lineage: Eukaryota; Metazoa; Chordata; Mammalia; Primates; Hominidae.
UCUGAGAAUCUUCUGGGACAUGUGGCAC